RNAcentral lists this unclassified non-coding RNA (215 nucleotides) under Hevea brasiliensis (rubber tree). Lineage: Eukaryota; Viridiplantae; Streptophyta; Magnoliopsida; Malpighiales; Euphorbiaceae. The record is from RNAcentral.
CUCCUCCCUUUAAUCUAUAAGCCACUAAUUUCACCUUCGUUCCUUCAGAAUUUCAGUAUACUCGAAGAAAUAAUCCACCUCAGUCAACCAAUCAAGAAAACUUUCAAUGUCAAGAUCUCUACUAAAGGUAGGGAUAUCCAUCUUCAAUUUGAGCUCCUCAUCCCUCCUAUGGUAUUGUUGGAAAUUUAAACCACCUCUUCCUUGUCCUUGGCAUG